RNAcentral lists this ribosomal RNA (496 nucleotides) under uncultured bacterium. RNAcentral's name for it is "partial 16S ribosomal RNA". It matches the Rfam family "Bacterial small subunit ribosomal RNA", at positions 29 to 507 of the family's 1533-position model. The record is from RNAcentral.
AUGAACGCUGGCGGCGUGCCUAAUACAUGCAAGUCGAGCGAACAGACGAGGAGCUUGCUCCUCUGACGUUAGCGGCGGACGGGUGAGUAACACGUGGAUAACCUACCUAUAAGACUGGGAUAACUUCGGGAAACCGGAGCUAAUACCGGAUAAUAUAUUGAACCGCAUGGUUCAAUAGUGAAAGACGGUUUUGCUGUCACUUAUAGAUGGAUCCGCGCCGCAUUAGCUAGUUGGUAAGGUAACGGCUUACCAAGGCAACGAUGCGUAGCCGACCUGAGAGGGUGAUCGGCCACACUGGAACUGAGACACGGUCCAGACUCCUACGGGAGGCAGCAGUAGGGAAUCUUCCGCAAUGGGCGAAAGCUUGACGGAGCAACGCCGCGUGAGUGAUGAAGGUCUUCGGAUCGUAAAACUCUGUUAGUAGGGAAAAACAAAUGUGUAAGUAACUAUGCACGUCUUGACGGUACCUAAUCAGAAAGCCACGGCUAACUACGUG